CGGUAGCUCAGCUGGAUAGAGUGUCUGACUACGAAUCAGAAGGCCGGGGGUUCGAGUCCCUUCCGGC
This 67-nucleotide transfer RNA is filed under the name Gemmiger formicilis. It matches the Rfam family "tRNA", at positions 5 to 66 of the family's 71-position model. From Rfam's summary of the family: Transfer RNA (tRNA) molecules are approximately 80 nucleotides in length. Their secondary structure includes four short double-helical elements and three loops (D, anti-codon, and T loops). Further hydrogen bonds mediate the characteristic L-shaped molecular structure. tRNAs have two regions of fundamental functional importance: the anti-codon, which is responsible for specific mRNA codon recognition, and the 3' end, to which the tRNAs corresponding amino acid is attached (by aminoacyl-tRNA synthetases). tRNAs cope with the degeneracy of the genetic code in two manners: having more than one tRNA (with a specific anti-codon) for a particular amino acid; and 'wobble' base-pairing, i.e. permitting non-standard base-pairing at the 3rd anti-codon position. The record is from RNAcentral. Lineage: Bacteria; Bacillati; Bacillota; Clostridia; Eubacteriales; Oscillospiraceae. RNAcentral also lists the same sequence under 1 other name.